Daphnia carinata is the source of this 2563-nucleotide long non-coding RNA. RefSeq lists it as uncharacterized. The record is from RefSeq and is a predicted model, not a curated record. Lineage: Eukaryota; Metazoa; Arthropoda; Branchiopoda; Diplostraca; Daphniidae. The transcript is spliced from 10 exons.
AACGACGUUCAUGGCGGAUCCUUCAUUUACCACAUUGUGUUAUUGUCUAGGUGUAACAGUACAAGCUAGAGCUAACAAGUUGCUGUGCUCUAACUGAUCAUAAGGCUGCAAUGCUUUAUGAAGCUACCUGAAGUUCUUGAAGACAGUGAAAACAUAGCAUGACUGAUACAUGGCAUGAAAUUAUUUGACUAAGUUGAGCCUUUCGUUCAUCAGUGUCGAUGGUCUGUUAUGACUUCUGGUAUGGUUGCAGCAUAACACCAUUCGAAGAAGCCGGCCUGCGCCAACUACUACAAAACAUUUAAAAUUCUGGCUACAUAAAACCAACACCUGUUCAGAAAGCUUCAGUUGCAGUUAUUCUUACCAAAGAGAUUUAAUUGCUUGUGCUCUCAUGGGCUCUGACAAAACGGUGGCGUACUUGGUACCAGUUUUGAACAUAUUGUUAGAACAAGGUGUUGCUGGUGCGUCUCAAGGACUCAAGGUGGGCGACUCAAGAAUUUUCUCGAGCGUGGAGUAUUUGACUCCACGGGGGUCAGGUUUUAAAUUUUGGACGGAGCUGAUCGAAUGCUUGAUAUGGGUUUCGGCGCCAAUAUUGGAAAAAUUGCCAACCAUCCAACGAAAGGAAUCCGUCGUGUUUGUAUGUUACCGGCUACAUUCCCAGAUGAAGUACAAGCGCUGGCUGCGACGUUCAUGGGAGACGACAUAUUCGUCACAACAGGCGUUGUCGGUGGCACCAAUCCGGAUGUUAAACAGCUGUUUUUUCCAGUGCACGAAAAGAAAUAAGAGAGCUAAGCUGAUCGAAGUUUUACAAGAUCUCGGUGAUGCCAAGACUAUCGUUUUUGUCAACAGCAAAUAGACGGCGGAUUUCGUCGCUGCAUUUCUCUGCAAUAACAACUUACAAUCUACCAGCAUCCAUGGUGAUCGUCUUCAGAAUCAACGUGAGCAAGCGCUACGUGACUUCAAAAAUGAUAUUAGGAAUAUUCUGGGGGCCACUAAUGUUGCUGCUCUUGGUUUCGAUAUUGCCGGCGUAAACAAUGUCGUAAAUUAUGACUUGCCAACGACUGAUUGCAUCAUCCGUAUGUAGCACGGGCAUUUCUUUUUAAUUUAGGCACUUAUCACGAAGUCUGUACGACGUUUGAACAUGGUGAUCCGAAUAGCUUGCCUCCUUCUUUUCUUUGUGUCCCUAUUGAAUUCUGCAGAGAUUCUACGUGAGUGUGAUAAGGAUAUCGACUGUGGGUCGGGUUAUUAUUGUUUCCUCUCGUAUUGUGAACGAUGCAUUCCCUGCGAUACCCAUUUCAAUCGCCAACCGGCGCGAUCGUUGACCGGUCAACCUAUUUGUGCCAGAUACGAAGAUGAUUGUGGAGUUUGCCUACCAGGAUAUCAAGCUAAGGAUUUAACUUAUCAACGGCGAUCGAUGACAUGCUUCUCACUGAACGAAACGGUCUCGACGUCUACCGGUUUUAGGUGGACGGGAAUCGUGUAGAUAGCGUCUGUUCUUUUUUUUGACAGUGGCUUUCAUCGUCUGCUUCCUCAAAUGUCGUCGUGCACCAGCUGUUUCCAACAACAAGGAUCCCAGAUUGCUUCCGUCUGCUCCGCCCCUCUACUCCCUAUACGAUGCAACAUUCACUGACGAAACGGAUGGCCUAGUUGUGGCAGAACCUGUUAGAUCCCCCGAACGGGUAGUUAUACAAGAAAACCAAGGACUUUACGAUGAAGCUAUUCCAGCCGGCUACUACGACGUUUUCAAUAAUCGUCUACACGAUUCGGAUGUAGAACCGGAAGAAGGGGAUCGCGUUCCAAUUCACGUAGCCGUUGAUUCUGAAGUCGAUGACGAAUCUAGUCAAUCAACUGAGACCAUUCCGUCACCUUGGGAACCGACAUCUUCGAUGCCGGACAUAUCCAACAAUUUCUUUAGAAGUCAAUCGUUGGAAAGAGUGCCUCGACCGGCAUCGACAAGUCAACUAGUCCGUUUGCCAAGCGAUCCGGAGAUCCUUUUGAGCAGAAGAAGAAUAGCUUCUGUUGGCGAAAGCUAUAGUCAUCGCACGUCAUCCCACGUCCUCAGCCAGUACCGGUCGGAAUCACAAACAUGAAAUCAAACAGAAUCGCCAAAAAUCUACGGCAGACUGUGAAUCUGAAGAUGAUUAAGAUCGUCGGGACUCUAGUUUGUCUGAAAGCUUUGAAGACGAUCAAGAGCCAGAUGCGCCGGAAGCUUUCCUUGUGGUGAGCGAUGAUCCCAGUUUUCCAUCCGUCAUUCUGGAUGUGUCGUGGCGUCGUCAGUCAAGAGCUCUGCAGAGUGUCUCCCGUUUCCUUGGAUCCGUUUUGAGUGAGCCUUCCAGUGAUCAAGGUUCGCAGGAUUCCGGAUUUUGAUAUCAAUCCCGAAGACGUUCGAAAACUAAAGAAGAUUUUUUAGAAGAGAACCGUAUUGACCUUAGUGCAAAAAAGCGGCGCAGAAACUGCUCAGAGACUGAAUAACUCGAAAUUUCUUGAAGUGCCAUACACCUGUUAACUUUAAACGAUGCCACAGAGAAACGUUUUCGUGCACAAAUUUAUAUACGGUGACAAUCAA